RNAcentral lists this unclassified non-coding RNA (582 nucleotides) under Hevea brasiliensis (rubber tree). The record is from RNAcentral. Lineage: Eukaryota; Viridiplantae; Streptophyta; Magnoliopsida; Malpighiales; Euphorbiaceae.
UUCCACAAAAUUUUAUAGAAUGGAAUUGAAGAUAUUACAUCACGAGAAUUCUAAAAUUUUCCAUUUGUAAAGCAAUAAGAUCUACAAAAUAACAUACUAAAGCAGCAUGCAAUUCAAAAUUCACAUUUUAGAAAAUUAACUUAAUAAUGUAUCCUCCUCCAAAUUCUAUCGAGGGUACAUCUCAGAGAUUGAAGCAUCAUUCUUGGAAGAUUGUUCCUGGCAAUACGACUCUGUUAAACUUGAUGAUGCCUCUGGUAACACGAUAUUGGGAACAAAAAAUGCAGGUUUCAGAGGCACUGGAAGACUCAAAGAGCAGCUACUAAGCAUAAUUACAACAGAAGCCAUGGUUGGUCUAUCAGCUAAAUUUUCUUGAACACAUAACAAGCCAAUGUGGAUGCACCUAAUCAUCUCAUUUCUUGAGCCAACACUCAAAGUGGGAUCUAUCAGAUUUAAAGCUGUUCCCUGAUUCCAAUUCUUCCAAGCAUAAGUUAGAAGGUCUUCGAAGUCCUCCCCAUUGCGGAAACUUCUAGUCCGACCACUCACAAUUUCCAAAACUAUUACACCAAAGCUAAAGACAUCUGA